RNAcentral lists this ribosomal RNA (440 nucleotides) under uncultured bacterium. Its description in RNAcentral is "partial 16S ribosomal RNA". It matches the Rfam family "Bacterial small subunit ribosomal RNA", at positions 338 to 795 of the family's 1533-position model. The record is from RNAcentral.
GCUACGGGGGUCAGCAGUGGGGGAUAUUGCACAAUGGGGGAAACCCUGAUGCAGCGACGCCGCGUGUGGGAAGACGGUCUUCUGGAUUGUAAACCACUGUCCCCAGGGACGAAAAUGACGGUACCUGGGGAGGAAGCUCCGGCUAACUACGUGCCAGCAGCCGCGGUAAUACGUAGGGAGCAAGCGUUGUCCGGAAUUACUGGGUGUAAAGGGAGCGUAGGCGGGGAUGCAAGUUGGGUGUCAAAACUACCGGCUCAACCGAUAGUCGCACUCAAAACUGCAGCUCUUGAGUGAAGUAGAGGCAGGCGGAAUUCCUAGUGUAGCGGUGAAAUGCGUAGAUAGUAGGAGGAACACCAGUGGCGAAGGCGGCCUGCUGGGCUUUGACUGACGCUGAGGCUCGAAAGUGUGGGGAGCAAACAGGAUUAGAUACCCUAGUAGUC